Peromyscus leucopus (white-footed mouse) is the source of this 1072-nucleotide RNA transcript. It is a transcript of the gene named probable alcohol sulfotransferase, with no coding region annotated. The transcript has 7 exons. Lineage: Eukaryota; Metazoa; Chordata; Mammalia; Rodentia; Cricetidae. The record is from RefSeq and is a predicted model, not a curated record.
UCAGCAUUUGCUUUAAUCUGAACAGGUGAGUAAUGCUGGAAUUUUCACAGCACCAAGAAAGAAUAUUUUGGGAUGUCAGCCUACUUUUGGUUUGAAGGAAUACCUUUCCCUGCUAUAUUGUAUAAAAGAGAAAUUAUUAAAGAAAGUCAUGAUAAGUUCGUGAUCAGAGAUGAAGACACUGUCAUAGUGAGUUAUCCUAAGUCAGGAACUAAUUGGCUGAUUGAGAUUGUCUGCUUGAUUCAGACCAAGGGAAAUCCCAAAUGGAUCCAAUCUGUGCUUAACUGGGAACGCUCACCCUGGAUAGAGACUAAAAAGGGACUUCCAAUAUUGAUCAAUACGGAAGGACCACGCCUCAUGUCCUCCCACCUCCCUUUCCAUCUUUUCCCCAAGUCUUUCUUCAGAUCCAAGGCCAAGGUGAUCUAUGUCAUCAGAAAUCCCAGAGAUGUUCUUGUGUCUGGUUAUUUUUUCCUACGUAACACAAAAAUUAUUGAUAAUCCAGAGUCACUAGGAACUUACAUUGAAUGGUUUCUCAACGGAAAUGUGCCAUAUGGAUCAUGGUUUGAGCACACCCGUAACUGGCUGUCUAUGAGAGAAAAUGAAAACUUCCUGUUACUGAGCUAUGAAGACAUGAAAAAGAAUACAAGGAGAACCAUAGAGAAGAUCUGUGACUUUCUAGGAAAGAAAUUGGAGCCAGAUGAGCUAGAUCUGGUCCUCAAGUACAGCUCCUUCCAAGCCAUGAAAGAAAACAAAAUGUCUAAUUUUAGUCUUGUCCCAGAACAUAUAGUUACUAAUGGUUUGGUCCUCAUGAGAAAAGGAGGAAAUUAUUCUCAGAUUUGGGCACACAAAAAUGUCAAUUCAAGAAAAUGGUCAUCUAUACACUAAGGACUGAGGCCUAUCAGAGGAUCCACUGCCAUUGACACAUAAACUCAGACUCCUGUGCUCCAUUUUCUGUGGACAUAGAGUUCUCUGUACUACAACUCAGAACCUCAAGCACAACUGGGGACUGGAAGAAUCACUUUACAGUAGCCCAAGCUGAAGCCUUUGAUAAAGUAUUCCAGGAGAAAAUGGCUGG